Molecule: long non-coding RNA, 643 nt
Organism: Numida meleagris (helmeted guineafowl)
Lineage: Eukaryota; Metazoa; Chordata; Aves; Galliformes; Numididae
Exons: 4
Source: RefSeq, a predicted model, not a curated record
GCUGGAGGUCCCUGCCUACCUGAGGCCUUCCAAAUUACUUUCCGUUCCAUUAUAACAACCAUGGGCAAAAUUAUAUUUACUGGGCUAAGCUGUGAAGAAGAAUAAAUCUUCUGGGUUUAUGAGGCCCACCCGUAUCUUGCUGCUGUCUUACAGAGCUUUCAAAAUGAGACGGAAAAAACAGUGAGUGGAGAGGCUGUUUCUGCAUGGCCCUCCCCAUGGCUUGGUACCACGGUGGGGUACAAGGAAGGAGCAGGACCCAAACACUUGGGCAUUGUCAGGGCCCUCAUUUCACAAAGAGGAGGUUUUCUGAGAGCUGGUUAAAUUCCAUCUAUUUAAGUAUUUCCAGAAACAUUUGCAGCUGUAUUUUUAAUUUAUUGAGUACUAUUUAGUCCUGCUGUGAACUUGGUCCAGUGGGCACUCAGUGCUGACUAAAUGACUUGCUAUUAGGUAUUUUCCUCAGCUGAGUCAUUAGGAAAACUAAAUUAUAAUGUGCAUCUGUACAGCCGUUUAAUUGUCAAGUUUUAAAAUCAUUUGAGAUCAUUAAAAAUGCAGUCUGAAAUUUGAUGUGAAUGCUAUUUGCUGUCUAGAUCUCCCAUCCCAUUUUUCUAAUUAGACAUUCCAUUAUUACUGAAAUAAAAUGCAA